This 253-nucleotide ribosomal RNA is filed under the name uncultured bacterium. RNAcentral's name for it is "partial 16S ribosomal RNA". It matches the Rfam family "Bacterial small subunit ribosomal RNA", at positions 524 to 776 of the family's 1533-position model. The record is from RNAcentral.
UACGUAGGGGGCAAGCGUUGUCCGGAUUUAUUGGGCGUAAAGAGCGUGUAGGCGGCCAGGUAGGUCAGCUGUGAAAACUCGAGGCUCAACCUCGAGACGUCGGUUGAAACCACCUGGCUAGAGUCCGGAAGAGGAGAGUGGAAUUCCUGGUGUAGCGGUGAAAUGCGCAGAUAUCAGGAAGAACACCAGUGGCGAAGGCGGCUCACUGGCCCGAUACUGACGCUGAGGUGCGAAAGCGUGGGGAGCAAACAGG